Molecule: ribosomal RNA, 401 nt
Filed under: uncultured bacterium
Lineage: Bacteria
Description: partial 16S ribosomal RNA
Rfam family: Bacterial small subunit ribosomal RNA
Source: RNAcentral
UGGGGAAUAUUGGUCAAUGGGCGAGAGCCUGAACCAGCCAAGUCGCGUGAAGGAAGACUGCCUUAUGGGUUGUAAACUUCUUUUAUACAGGAAUAAAAAGGCUUACGUGUAGGCCAUUGCAAGUACUGUAUGAAUAAGCAUCGGCUAACUCCGUGCCAGCAGCCGCGGUAAUACGGAGGAUGCGAGCGUUAUCCGGAUUUAUUGGGUUUAAAGGGUGCGCAGGCGGGCUUUUAAGUCAGCGGUGAAAUCUGGACGCUUAACGUCCAAACUGCCGUUGAAACUGGGAGUCUUGAGUAUGGAUGAAGUAGGCGGAAUUCGUUGUGUAGCGGUGACAUGCAUAGAUAUAACGGAGGAACUCCGAUUGCGUAGGCAGCUUACUAAGCCAUAACUGACGCUCAUGC